AUAAGAGUUAAAGCGCCAGGACUUUUUAAAAGUUGACGAGGACAGGGUUUAUCGAAUAAUCGGCGGAUGCCCUGCGUUUGACCAACGAUAUAAACCUUACAAAAACUAAAAGCAAUUUUAGUGACAAAAGGGUUAGGUCAUGGAU
RNAcentral lists this non-coding RNA (145 nucleotides) under Gottschalkia acidurici. RNAcentral describes it as "Clostridium acidurici GlcN6P sequence". It matches the Rfam family "glmS glucosamine-6-phosphate activated ribozyme aptamer". Rfam says of the family: This entry contains a glucosamine-6-phosphate activated ribozyme that is found in the mRNA for GlmS. GlmS is an enzyme that uses fructose-6-phosphate and glutamine to generate glucosamine-6-phosphate. RNAcentral also lists the same sequence under 1 other name. Lineage: Bacteria; Bacillati; Bacillota; Tissierellia; Tissierellales; Gottschalkiaceae. The record is from RNAcentral.